This is a long non-coding RNA of Gossypium arboreum, 1196 nucleotides long. RefSeq lists it as uncharacterized. The record is from RefSeq and is a predicted model, not a curated record. The transcript is spliced from 2 exons. Lineage: Eukaryota; Viridiplantae; Streptophyta; Magnoliopsida; Malvales; Malvaceae.
UCAAUUAAAUUCUACCGUCCUAUUUGCCCAAUCAAAUACUUUGAUGCCGGCCAUUUCCAUCUUUUCUUUCAAUUCAGACUUAAUGGCAAUACCAUUUUCCAAGGGAAGCUUUAAACCACCGAUACUUUUGAUCUGCCAAUUUAGACUUCCCCCUUUCUUCCUUCUUCCUUCUUCCUUCUCCCCCCUUCUUCAAUCCGGUUCUCUUUCGUAGUCGGUAUUCCUCUGAUUUUCGGCAUACGUUGGAACGCUUUCAACCGGGUACAUUUCUUCUUUUCUUCUUAAUGAUUCUGUUGCAAGUGUGUGUGCUAGACCAUUCGCUGAUCUUGGAGUAUAUUAUUCAAACCUUACUCUGCUAGGUCUGGACUGUAGUUGUUGAAUAUCAUGAAUAUAGACCCCUAUUUGCGAUUUAUCUUCCCCUUUCACCUUGCAUUUCUUUAUUACCGAUAAAGAGUCGCCUUCAAUAAUGAUUUCCUUCUUUUGCAUGUCGAGUGCUAUUUGGGUCGCUUUUCUACAAGUGAGUGCUUCGGCUGGGAAGGCGGAAAGAACUCUGUAGUGAAUCUCUGUGCAUGUUACGAGGACAAAACCUUCGCUAUUUCUGACUACUAUCCCGAAAGCCGAUUGUCAGAUGCGCUCAUUAUAUGCUCCGUCAAAGUUUAUUUUUACUAUUUGACCAGGUGGGUGUUUGCAUUUAGUAUUCUCCUUUGAAACUAUGGAAGUAGUGCUCUCCAAACCAUCCACUUCUUUUAAGUAUCUAUGUACAAAGCAUACAAUUUCCUUACCAGAUCUAUUUGUUUUAUCAUGUACUUGAGCAUUUCUCUCCCCCCAUAUGGCACAUAACGUACAACAAAACAGUCUGCAAAGGGAGGUUGGCUGGUCAACGAGGAUCCUGGACAAUCCCAAAAGAGGUGGUCCGUUGUUUCUGCUCCUUCACCACAACAAGGACAUGUUGGACUAUUUACUAGUUUCCUACAAGACAUAUUUACCCGAGUAGGCAAAUAGUUCCAAGAAAUUUUCCAGCAUGUAAUUAUAAUUUUUUUUUUUGGUAGAUCUAGGCUCCAUAGUUUUUUGUAGAAAGCUUUGUAGUCAGGAUGUAAAGCAUAAAUUCUAGGUUCCAUACUUUGUAAUAGUUUAUAGGCGCUUCAAACUGAGGAUUUGCAGCUCUAAACCCUAAAAUCAGCGUGAGGUUCUUUUAUCAA